AAUUUAGAUAAUUGGAUAUUUGCUAUUGUCAUACAUACUGCAAUAGAGGAAAGUUUGAACUCAUUAAAAGUAAUAGGGUAAUUACCUAUAGAUUAGAAAUUUAAGAAAGUUAUAAAGAAAUUAACAAUGUUGAAACUGAUAAAAUAUGAAUCUCAUGUUUUAAUAAAUAAGACCUGUAUAUGAGCAAAUAAAUUUAAUUAUGAAAAAGACGUUAAAGAUAUCGUUUUUAGAAAAAUAAAUAUCAUGUUAUACAAAAUUCAACUUAUAAAUUAUCUA
RNAcentral lists this non-coding RNA (276 nucleotides) under Malawimonas californiana (nom. ined.). Lineage: Eukaryota; Malawimonada; Malawimonadea; Malawimonadida; Malawimonadidae. The record is from RNAcentral.